This is an RNA transcript of Helicoverpa zea (corn earworm), 7262 nucleotides long. It is a transcript of the gene named solute carrier family 12 member 4, with no coding region annotated. The transcript is spliced from 22 exons. NCBI's taxonomy places the organism in Eukaryota, Metazoa, Arthropoda, Insecta, Lepidoptera, Noctuidae. The record is from RefSeq and is a predicted model, not a curated record.
UUAAAAUCGUACGCAUUCGUAAAGACAGGUAUGAGCAGCGGAGUGACCGUGUUAUAAAUUCGGACGUCUAGUGUGUACUGCGCUUAGCAUGGCUUCCGAAAAAGAGAAGAUGGCGGCUGCCGAGACCAAGUCUCCCUCUAACAAGAGCAACUGCACCUCCCCUGGGAAGAAAGGUGAAACCGACGAGCAUGGCCUACCCACAGAAAAGGACAAAGGAUGCGACACCAACCUGUACCUCUACCAUGAAGAGUUGGAAGACCGGCCCCGAGCGGCCACCUUCCUCAGUUCGCUGGCGAACUACUCGAACACGAUCCCGACGGCGUCGGCAGCAGACCCUGACGUGAAACCGGCGCCCCCCGCCCGCAUGGGCACGCUCAUCGGCGUCUACCUGCCUUGCAUCCAGAACAUCUUCGGUGUCAUCCUCUUCAUCCGUCUAACGUGGGUCGUCGGAACCGCUGGCGCUAUACAAGGAUUCCUGAUCGUGCUUGUUUGUUGUUGUACGACAAUGUUGACUGCCAUCUCGAUGUCAGCGAUCGCGACGAACGGCGUGGUGCCGGCAGGCGGGUCGUACUUCAUGAUAGGACGCGCGCUGGGCCCCGAGUGCGGCGGGGCGGUCGGCAUGCUGUUCUAUACAGGCACCACGCUCGCAGCCGCCAUGUAUAUCGUCGGAGCUGUUGAAAUUGUUUUGACGUACAUGGCGCCGUGGAUGUCGAUCUUCGGGGACUUCACGAAAGACCCCGAGGCGAUGUACAACAACUUCCGCGUGUACGGCACCGGGCUACUGCUCAUCAUGGGCAUGGUGGUGUUCGUGGGCGUCAAGUUUGUGAACAAGUUCGCCACCGUCGCCCUCGCUUGUGUCAUCCUCUCCAUCACAGCGGUGUACGUCGGUAUCUUCGUCAACUUCAAUGGAAACGAUAAGUUGCAGAUGUGCGUGUUAGGCAAACGCCUGCUAAAAGACAUUAACAUCAACAACUGCACGAAGGAGAUUGGCGCGCCGCUGCAUCAGCUGUUCUGCCCCAACAAUACUUGCGACCCUUACUAUCUGGCACAUGAUGUGUCUGUCGUGCAGGGUAUUAAGGGUUUGAAAAGCGGAGUAUUCUUCGACAACCUACAAGACUCGUUCCUCCAACUGGGCCAGUACAUUGCGUACGGCAAAGAACCUGAUGACAUCGAACAGAUGGAGAGACCCACCUACAACCAAGUGUAUGCCGACCUCACUACCACCUUCACCAUACUCAUCGGAAUAUUCUUCCCUUCGGUCACUGGUAUAAUGGCUGGUUCCAAUCGUUCCGGUGACCUCGCGGAUGCUCAGAAGAGCAUUCCUAUUGGUACCAUCUGCGCUAUCCUGACGACUUCCACCGUGUACCUGUCCUGUGUGCUACUAUUUGCCGGCACCGUUGAUAAUCUACUGCUAAGAGACAAGUUCGGUCAAUCAAUCGGUGGUAAGCUAGUGGUAGCGAACAUGGCGUGGCCGAACCAGUGGGUGAUCCUGAUCGGGUCGUUCCUGUCGACCCUGGGAGCUGGUCUCCAGUCCCUCACCGGAGCGCCGCGGUUACUGCAGGCCAUUGCCAAGGAUGAGAUCAUUCCGUUCCUGGCACCUUUCGCCGUUUCAUCGAGCCGGGGUGAACCAACAAGGGCCCUGCUGCUAACAAUGGUGAUCUGCCAGUGCGGUAUUCUCCUGGGUAACGUCGACAUCCUCGCUCCCCUACUCUCCAUGUUCUUCCUCAUGUGUUACGGCUUCGUGAACCUCGCCUGCGCUCUUCAAACUCUCCUCAAGACUCCCAACUGGAGACCUCGUUUCAAGUACUACCACUGGUCGCUGUCCUUAGCCGGUCUUACGCUGUGUAUCUCGAUCAUGUUCAUGACGUCAUGGUUCUAUGCUCUCAUCGCGAUGGGUAUGGCCGGUCUCAUCUAUAAGUACAUUGAAUACCGCGGAGCGGAGAAGGAAUGGGGUGACGGCCUGCGAGGUCUUGCUCUAUCUGCAGCGCGUUAUUCUCUGCUACGUCUCGAACAAGGACCGCCUCACACCAAGAACUGGCGCCCACAAGUACUGGUGCUCGCCAAGCUGAACAAUGAACUGAUGCCUACUUAUAGGAAGAUGCUUGCCUUUGCCAGUCAACUGAAAGCUGGCAAGGGUCUGACGGUAUGCGUGUCGGUGCUGGGCGGCGACUUCCCGCGCCGCGCCGGCGACGCGUCCUCCGCGCGACAGAACCUGCGCAAGGUCAUGGACGAGGAGAAGGUCAAGGGCUUCGUGGAUGUGCUCGUCUCGCCCGACAUUGCUGAAGGACUUAGCCAUUUGGUCCAAACGACAGGUCUGGGCGGUCUAAAGCCCAACACGGUGAUAGUAGGCUGGCCGUACGGCUGGCGCCAGGCGGAGCGGUCGGCGCCGCGCUGGCAGCACUUCCUGCACACCGUGCGGGCGGUGGCUGCCGCGAGGAUGGCCAUGCUCGUGCCUAAGGGGAUUAAUUUCUUCCCUGAUUCUACUGAGAAGGUAUCCGGCAACAUCGACAUCUGGUGGAUCGUGCACGACGGCGGCAUGCUGAUGCUGCUGCCGUUCCUGCUGAAGCAGCACCGCACCUGGAAGAACUGCAAGAUGCGCAUCUUCACCGUCGCGCAGAUGGAAGACAACUCCAUACAGAUGAAGAAGGACCUCAAAAUGUUCUUGUACCAGCUCCGGCUUGAAGCUGAAGUUGAAGUCGUUGAAAUGACGGACAGCGAUAUCUCUGCCUACACUUACGAGCGAACCCUGAUGAUGGAACAACGCAACCAGAUGCUGCGCGAACUGCGGUUGAACAAGAAGGAAACCAUGGGCAUGAUGCAAAAUUUCGUGGAUUAUCGUGAAAACGCUGAGGAGAAGUUACCUUUGGUUCAAGCGAUUGUUGAUCAUCACCACGCCGACGUGAAGACUGCCAGCAAGGUUCGGUUUGCGGAGCCCGGAGACGAAGCACCCACCGACGCGCCAUCGCCGCCUCUAGCCGACACUGAUGAUAAAGAUAAAGAUGACAAGUGCGAGGACGCCAGCCCGCCGCCCGACGACAAGCACAAGGACGCCGCCAACGGGGACCUCGCCAAGCCCAAGCCCAACCUCGCAGACAUCACGCCUGACGAGGGCACGGUGCGGCGCAUGCACACGGCGGUGAAGCUCAACGAGGUCAUCGUGUCGCGCUCGCACGACGCGCAGCUCGUCAUCCUCAACCUGCCCGGCCCGCCCAGGGACACCAACAUCGACCGGGAGUCCAAUUACAUGGAGUUCCUGGAGGUGCUGACGGAGGGGCUGGAGAAGGUGCUGAUGGUGCGCGGCGGCGGGCGCGAGGUCAUCACCAUCUACUCGUGAGCUGUGACCGCUUCACUCAUAUUCCUAGUAUUUUCUUACGAUCUUGUAUUCGGCAUCCGUUUUACUUGUAAAUGUUAGCUUAAUUCUACGAUACGUUUUGUUGAAUUUGCUGUUUAGAGUGACGUUGUUUUGAAAUUUAUUCACUGUUGUAUAGAUAUUUAUGGAUAUGAUAUGUAUCUAAUGAGGAGCCUUAUCUGUCGGACGUUAGCUCUAAGUUCGUUGUUUUGUUAUUGAAUAGAUUAGCUAAGAAUUACUUUAAGCACCCGAGUGGUCUCUUGUUUACCGACAUGCCAUAUAGUUUUAUUUUAUUGCGAAAGCGUUAGCUCUUAGAUGUUAAUUUGUAUCAUUUUUAUACAUAUUUUUAUUUUCUAUGGUUGUUAACACGACGUAGAUAUACUUUGUAAGAGUAUAUACUUUAACCAUAAAGAUUUUUAACUAUACAAAAAUAAUAUUUUGUAAAUAUUAUUCUGUUCUAAGGUUUUUACAUCUGCUCAACUUAAAACAUACCGUGGGACUGAUGCCGGAAGUUAUAAACGAUCCGAACUUUACGCUAACUGGGUAGAUUUCGACUACUUUUCAUUUGAAGUCAUUUCUAGUCACUUUUUGAUAUUAGAUCAAUCUAAUACAUACACAAUUCGUUAUACCAAAAAGCCAUGAAGUCAUUAGUGGUCAACAAGGCGAACCCUCGAGUUUUUAUGGUGAGUAGAUUGAGCAGCAACCAGACCGCGCUCAGAGGGAUACCUAGGUAACUAUUAACUAUUCGUAAUUUAGUAUUAGCGUGAAGAUUUAAUAGUUAAAUGCGAUCCCCGUCGUAAUAAUUAACUUAGUGAAUAACUUGAAAACUUAUUGCGCACAUUCGCGUAGGUAGAUGAUUUCUUACUGUGAUCGUUUGAAUAAAGUUUUUAUUGUUUUAGUUUAACUUAAGUGGUAGCGGUAAUUACAUCCGGACAGUAGUAGCCAGCCAUCAGCCGCAUUUUCAUAUUUGCUAUUCUAUUUAACGAGUUGCCUUAACUUGCUCGUGCUAUACUUUAAACAAAAGCUGAUAUUGUGAAACCCUGCUAUCGAAAAACGCAGUACAAAUUGUACCUACCAUGACGCUAUUCCUUCGCAUGACGCCACGAGAAAAUGAACAACCCACCCAUUUACCAAUCGGGUACAAUUUCCAAUCAGAAAUUCAAAAUAACUGGAUUUUGUUCACUUUUAAUAGAAAUAGCUUCGGCGUUAAUAAAUUAAUUAACUUUCAAAUAUCAUCUGUAAGUAAACUAUAAUAUGAGCAUAGAAGCCACCUCUGCGUAUAAAACUGCGUAUGAAGAAAACUUGUCAAUUUUUCAUUUACCGUUACACCACAUUAGUUAAGGAACUAUUUCUUAUUCGUAUAAAGAGUGUUAGAUAACUGCCAAAUAGGAAUCGGUGUUGUAAAAUAUCCUAGUCCAUAAGUGAGCUACCAUCUACUCGGUAAUAAUAACGUCGUUUAUGAAAAUUGUAAACGUUUUACAGUUAUAAACAUUACUACAACACUUUGUAGACGAAAUAGUUAGAUGACUGUAUUGCCUUUCUUUCACAAAGUAAUCGACAUAAGGAGUUUACCAUCGGAUAGCAUUCCUUUAACGUUCAUUUCGAACUGUAACUGUUAUUUUUAAAAUUAUCAAUUAUUACCUAAAAUAAUGUCCUAAGAUUUUACGAUAGCAUCAACUCGAAUUUUGUACAAGAGUUGAUAUUUUUAAGAUUUCCUCAAAUAAAAAAUAGUUUAACCUUUUCAUAACUCGUACUCACAAAUACAAGUAACAUCAUGUAAUGUUCGCGCCCCUCCGCGUUACGAACAAAGUAGGAAUAAAUUCGAAGGCAUUUAAGUAUUCCUUUCUGUCAUGGUUGUAGAUGCCAUAAUAAUAAAUUAAGUACGUAGAUGUUAGUUAUUCUAUGAAUUCGACUGUCGACUAACCGUCUAUGAACUGCCUGAGUGCAAGCCCUGACCAUUCGGUCGCCUAGCAACCAGACACCUAGCCGCGGCCAUCCCUCUGUCUAUCAUUGAAGCAUAGCGAUAUUAUAACAAAUUAAAUCACUUAAUAAGAUUAAGUAUAAAUCAUUCUAAAUUACUUAUAUUAAUAUAAACAUAUAUAUUUCAACAUUUGACAACUAUGGUGAUUAUACAUCGCUCAUUUUAAUUUUGUAUUUGUGUUCUCUAUCACUUAUAUAGUGAUAGGUAAUACACAGGUCAAAUGAAAUAGUGAUCACAUAUCUUCCUUUCACAUAGAAAAAAUAUAUAUCUACGUGAUAUUUAUGCCUAUUAAUAGGUAAUGGACGAUAAUUUAUUUAAAAAAUGGAAUUAUAUUGAAUUAUAUAUCGAAAUUAUUUAAAUUUAAAAUUAUGUACCUAGUAGGUAUUAUUACGUCUAAGUCGAAUUUGUGAAAUUGGUAAAUUAUGACAACAUAAUUUGUAUUCUGUAAGAACAUAUGAUUGUAUUUUAAUGUAUUUUUAUUUUACAAAAUUGAUGAUUGUAUUAAAGGCUCAAUAAGCAUUCCAAAAUAAUUAAUAAUUUAUAGAUGUACACAACGCAUCACAAACGUCGGGCGCCUGCAAAAAGACAUUACGCCUGGGCAUAACUGUGUUACUUGAAUCCCUAACAAGAGUCGGCGCUCCACACCUACUUACUUCAAUGUUACCUUCUCGAUAACAACAUUGUAGAUAGUUCCAAUUAUUAAGUAGGACACUAGUUAAUGUUUGAUGCCCACAAUAACGUCAUACAUCAUGUGCCAAACAUCAUUAUUUCAGUGAGUAAAUGACAAGGUGGCAAAUAUUUAGAGUAGGUCAUCCGACUUACAUUAUUAGAGUAACUACAAAAUCAUGUCUCAGUGAAGUAUCAGUAAUGUGUGUAAUACUUAUAAUAAAUAGCUUUCGGAGAUACAUUAUGUGUUAGAAAUAUCACGUUUACUAACAUAGUUGUAAUUCAACAACAUGCACAUACAUAGUGAACCUUCUCGGAAUAGAUUUAAAAUCGUGUUCGUAAUUUCAGUCGUUACAUUUUAGCUUUACUAAAAUAAAAUCAUUAAAUAUUAUUAAAUAAUUGUACAGUCGCCAACGUAUCGUCAGCCACAGGUAUGAUUGAAUACGCUGGUGAACGCGCUUGGCGAUUGGACUUGACAAGUAUCAAGUAAUUAUUGAUAUAAAACUAUAAAAUUACCUAUUUUAGAUUUUAGGCUGUGAGUCAGCGUAAACACAUUCUUUACAAUUUAAUAUUCAAGCUAGAGUUGCUGUGAUACACCAUUAUGGCUAUAAAAUUAUAGUGUAGUCAUUUCUGGCUAUAUGAAUUACAAUGGGAGAUAACGUGGAUGAACGUUCAACGCCAUAUUCUAUCUGUGAUUUCACUGAUGUUUAGAUGCACCUUUAUCCGCGUAACCUUACAAAUCCCUGAAGUCUCAUUCCCAUUCCCGACUUGAGUACGACUCGUAAAGUUUUGCCUCACGAUUUGUAAUCUGUAACUAUCUUAUUACAAAUCACAAAAUACAUAAUGAAAAUGUAACUAACAAGGCUGUCUCUACUUUGAAGAUAUUUUGAAAAUUGUAUUUUAUAAAAGCCUAUGUCUAACAGCCAGAAAUGUAACUAGAUUGUCUAUUAUUGAAACAAAUCUAUUUGAAAACUAUUCUUGGUGUUGGAAAUAGAAAGCGACAAAGUUAGCCUACAUCAUGCUACAUCUCAAGAUAUUGAGCAAUAACGAAAGUAUAUAGAUAGUGAUCGCUGGGCGGUAUGCUAUUUAACUUAUAAAUAUUAUGUAUUUUGAUCUGGAACGAGUUUUUCAUAGAAAAAAUAUUUCGAAGUGUAAAAGUUGUUUAAGAAAUUAUUAAAAUAUUCAAAUAAUAAUUCUAGAGAGUUAGUCAGUGAGUAAUUAUAAGAAAAGAUGUUACGAGUAUAAUAAAAUAAAUAAUAAAAAAGA